Molecule: ribosomal RNA, 342 nt
Filed under: uncultured fungus
Lineage: Eukaryota; Fungi
Description: eukaryotic LSU rRNA
Rfam family: 5.8S ribosomal RNA (bases 1-71)
Source: RNAcentral
GUGAGUCAUCGAGUCUUUGAACGCACCUUGCGCUCCUCGGUGUUCCGAGGAGCAUGCCUGUUUGAGUGUCAGUAAAUUCUCAACCCCUCUCGAUUUGUUUCGAGGGGGAGCUUGGAUGGUGGGGGCUGCCGGGGACUAGGACUCGUCCUGGACUCGGGCUCUCCUUAAAUGCAUCGGCUUGCGGUCGACUUUCGACUUUGCGCGACAAGGCUUUCGGCGUGAUAAUGAUCGCCGUUCGCUGAAGCGCAUGAAUGAAGGUUCCGUGCCUCUAAUGCGUCGACUUAACGGUCUUCCUUAUUGACUUUUGACCUCAAAUCAGGUAGGACUACCCGCUGAACUUAA